UAGUACAACCUGGACAGUGCGACUGAUG
Molecule: small RNA, 28 nt
Filed under: Bombyx mori (domestic silkworm)
Lineage: Eukaryota; Metazoa; Arthropoda; Insecta; Lepidoptera; Bombycidae
Description: ovarian small RNA-22873
Source: RNAcentral